RNAcentral lists this ribosomal RNA (469 nucleotides) under uncultured bacterium. RNAcentral describes it as "partial 16S ribosomal RNA". It matches the Rfam family "Bacterial small subunit ribosomal RNA", at positions 28 to 507 of the family's 1533-position model. The record is from RNAcentral.
GACGAACGCUGGCGGCGUGCUUAACACAUGCAAGUCGAACGAUGAUCUCCCGCUUGCGGGGGUGAUUAGUGGCGAACGGGUGAGUAAUACGUGAGUAACCUGCCCUUGACUCUGGGAUAAGCCUGGGAAACCGGGUCUAAUACUGGAUACUACUUCCUGCCGCAUGGUGGGGGGUGGACAGGGUUUUACUGGUUUUGGAUGGGCUCACGGCCUAUCAGCUUGUUGGUGGAGUAAUGGCUCACCAAGGCGACGACGGGUAGCCGGCCUGAGAGGGUGACCGGCCACACUGGGACUGAGACACGGCCCAGACUCCUACGGGAGGCAGCAGUGGGGAAUAUUGCACAAUGGGCGGAAGCCUGAUGCAGCGACGCCGCGUGAGGGAUGACGGCCUUCGGGUUGGAAACCUCUUUCAGCAGGGAAGAAGCCACAAGUGACGGUACCUGCAGAAGAAGCGCCGGCUAACUACGUG